Molecule: ribosomal RNA, 175 nt
Filed under: uncultured Hydrogenophaga sp.
Lineage: Bacteria; Pseudomonadati; Pseudomonadota; Betaproteobacteria; Burkholderiales; Comamonadaceae
Description: partial 16S ribosomal RNA
Rfam family: Bacterial small subunit ribosomal RNA
Source: RNAcentral
UACACACGUCAUACAAUGGCCGGUACAAAGGGCAGCCAACCCGCCGAGGGGGGGAGGCCCAAAUCCCCAUAAAGCCGGUCGUAGUCCGGAUCGCAGUCUGCAACUCGACUGCGUGAAGUCGGAAUCGCUAGUAAUCGUGGAUCAGUAUGUCACGGUGAAUACGUUCCCGGGUCUU